UUAAUUCCCUAUUAAAUAGCCAGCAUCAGCUAAGCAAAAGUGGGGUUGUGAUGGUGGUGCAAAUGAGGAUGUGUUCAACCCUCAGUUCCGAAGCUUUUUUACUCUGUUUUGUUCUAUUUAAAAGAGUGCUUUGUAGCCUUGUCUCAAGUUUAACCACCAGGAUCGGAUCCAUUCACAUCUCAGUUGGUCUCCGCUGUUUCUUCAUGGCCUUUCUCAGCUGGAGAUCUGUUGGCUGAUUGGAUUGUCUGACUGACCGACUGACUACAACUUACUUGCAUAUGGCACAACCUACCUGGCACCCUACAAACAAUAACCUCAAGUCAAAACCGUUACAGUAGAGGGAACGAGAGCACCACCCAUGUUGAUGUAGGGAGAGGACAAACAGGUCAUCAGAUGGAUACCGUUCCCCCCGUGGUGUUGGUUGAGGCUGCAUUGUGAGGAGGAUGCAUCAACAACCUGGAAAGAUGUUAGUGGUGCACUCCCUCAACACUUUUUUUUUUGUGAUAAAUGAGUGUAUCGUCUUCAAGCUUGAAAAGGACGCUAUGUAAAUGCAUGUAUUAUUCUGAUAAAUGAAUACAUUCAUUCUUUGUAACAAUUAGAUCUCUCAUUGCUUUAAACUAGUAGCGAGCUCAUCUUAAUCACAUGUUGUUAAUUCUCCCUUUCUUUCCAGAAGCAAUCAGUUACAAUGCACCUGGUCAAGGUCAAGAUUUCUUGCAUGCAUGAACUUGUUAACAAUAAUUAAUUUUGGAAAAGAAUAUGAAUUCCCAUACUAGGCAUAAAUACAUUUUAUGUUGCAUUUCUUCCACCCAAGCCUAGUACACCUAAUUCAGAAAUAAGAGACAACUAGUAUAUUACAUUUAGCAGAUGCUCUUAUCCAGAGCAAUUUACAGUAUCGAGUGCAUACAUUUUCAUACUGGUCCCCCGUGGAAAUCAAACCCACAUCCCUGGCAAUGCAAGAGACAUGCUCUAGCAACUGAGCCACACAGGACAACUAAACUCAGCAAAAAAAGAAACGUCCUCUCACUGUCAACUGCGUUUA
This is a long non-coding RNA of Oncorhynchus tshawytscha (Chinook salmon), 1039 nucleotides long. RefSeq lists it as uncharacterized. NCBI's taxonomy places the organism in Eukaryota, Metazoa, Chordata, Actinopteri, Salmoniformes, Salmonidae. The transcript has 3 exons. The record is from RefSeq and is a predicted model, not a curated record.